This 390-nucleotide ribosomal RNA is filed under the name uncultured bacterium. RNAcentral describes it as "bacterial SSU rRNA". It matches the Rfam family "Bacterial small subunit ribosomal RNA", at positions 354 to 761 of the family's 1533-position model. The record is from RNAcentral.
UCGGGGAAUUUUGGGCAAUGGGCGAAAGCCUGACCCAGCAACGCCGCGUGAAGGAUGAAGUAUUUCGGUAUGUAAACUUCGAAAGAAUAGGAAGAAUAAAUGACGGUACUAUUUAUAAGGUCCGGCUAACUACGUGCCAGCAGCCGCGGUAAUACGUAGGGACCAAGCGUUGUUCGGAUUUACUGGGCGUAAAGGGCGCGUAGGCGGCAAUUCAAGUCAUCUGUGAAAUCUCCGGGCUUAACUCGGAACGGUCAGAUGAUACUGCUUUGCUAGAGUGCAGAAGGGGCAAUCGGAAUUCUUGGUGUAGCGGUGAAAUGCGUAGAUAUCAAGAGGAACACCUGAGGUGAAGACGGGUUGCUGGGCUGACACUGACGCUGAGGCGCGAAAGCC